UCGGGUUCGUUGGACAGAAGCGUCCUCUGGAGGGGGGUGUGCGUGAAAACUUGGGGCUGCCACCGAGGGCGGCGGCCGCUUCCUGCACCCCCGCGUCAGCCCCCAGCAGCUCCGCAGGCCGCCCGUCAGGAAGGGCACGCGAACGAUUCGGGUGCAGAUUUGCGCGUUGCUUUGUCUCAUUUGUUGGGUUUAAAGACUCCCUGGAAACCCCCGGCCUGGCCUCCCUCCUCCCGCCUGCAGUCCUGCCCCGGCACACGGGGCUGCGUGUCCUGGGCACUGGCGCCCUUGACCCCGCACAGCCGCGACUUCCCGGGCAGCAGUGGUCGCCCAGCUCCGACCAGCGGGGCGCGUGGGAGGGAGGGUGUGACCAGCGUCCGCCACCAGCGGUUCCGGUAAAGGCUCCGUGGAGCAGGACACACCUGCCGGCCUCCAGCAUCUGCAGGGUCGGUGACCAGCGCACCUCCGCGCCUGUGGCGUUUGCACAGAUGACGUGAAGGCAUCGGUGGGGCACAGACGCCAGCGGUCGGCGCCCUGCGGUGACUCGUCUCGGAGUGUGAGAAAGGGACGGUGUCGAGCGAGUUCUGUGGAAGGACCCGGGUCUGCGAAACUGCUUGGGAAGGUGCUGGCACCGGGUUUGAAUUCAUCCUCCUGAAAACCCAGCGCUGUGUUUACAAAACAGAAGAUUUUCCCUCCACUUCCUGUCCUGCAGCUAACAAGAGGUGGCUGUUCCAGACACCGCUGCCCCCAGGCUGCUGGCCGCCCCCCAGGGCCGCCCCCUCGGCAACCCGAGGCCCCGGGACUGUCACUCUACACGCUCUUCCAGAAAGUGUAAGAGAAGGGACAUUUCCCAGCUUCUUUUGUGAGGCCGACAUUUCCCUGACAACACCAAUAAGACAAAGACAGUCUAAGAAAAGAAAAUGACAUG
This is a long non-coding RNA of Lemur catta (Ring-tailed lemur), 925 nucleotides long. RefSeq lists it as uncharacterized. The transcript has 2 exons. The record is from RefSeq and is a predicted model, not a curated record. NCBI's taxonomy places the organism in Eukaryota, Metazoa, Chordata, Mammalia, Primates, Lemuridae.